UACGAAGGGGGCUAGCGUUAAUCGGAAUUACUGGGCGUAAAGCGUGCGCAGGCGGUUAUGUAAGACAGAUGUGAAAUCCCCGGGCUCAACCUGGGACCUGCAUUUGUGACUGCAUAGCUAGAGUACGGUAGAGGGGGAUGGAAUUCCGCGUGUAGCAGUGAAAUGCGUAGAUAUGCGGAGGAACACCGAUGGCGAAGGCAAUCCCCUGGACCUGUACUGACGCUCAUGCACGAAAGCGUGGGGAGCAAACAGG
Molecule: ribosomal RNA, 253 nt
Filed under: uncultured bacterium
Lineage: Bacteria
Description: partial 16S ribosomal RNA
Rfam family: Bacterial small subunit ribosomal RNA
Source: RNAcentral